CCUACGGGUGGCUGCAGUGGGGAAUAUUGGACAAUGGGCGAAAGCCUGAUCCAGCCAUGCCGCGUGUGUGAAGAAGGCCUUCGGGUUGUAAAGCACUUUCAGUGGGGAAGAAAGCCUUGGGGCUAAUACCCUCGAGGAAGGACAUCACCCACAGAAGAAGCACCGGCUAACUCCGUGCCAGCAGCCGCGGUAAUACGGAGGGUGCGAGCGUUAAUCGGAAUUACUGGGCGUAAAGCGCGCGUAGGCGGUCUGAUAAGCCGGUUGUGAAAGCCCCGGGCUCAACCUGGGAACGGCAUCCGGAACUGUCAGGCUAGAGUGCAGGUGAGGAAGGUAGAAUUCCCGGUGUAGCGGUGAAAUGCGUAGAGAUCGGGAGGAAUACCAGUGGCGAAGGCGGCCUUCUGGACUGACACUGACGCUGAGGUGCGAAAGCGUGGGUAGCAAACAGGAUUAGAUACCCCUGUAGUC
RNAcentral lists this ribosomal RNA (465 nucleotides) under Vreelandella stevensii. RNAcentral's name for it is "partial 16S ribosomal RNA". It matches the Rfam family "Bacterial small subunit ribosomal RNA", at positions 338 to 795 of the family's 1533-position model. Lineage: Bacteria; Pseudomonadati; Pseudomonadota; Gammaproteobacteria; Oceanospirillales; Halomonadaceae. The record is from RNAcentral.